This 341-nucleotide ribosomal RNA is filed under the name uncultured Latescibacterota bacterium. RNAcentral describes it as "bacterial SSU rRNA". It matches the Rfam family "Bacterial small subunit ribosomal RNA", at positions 1042 to 1382 of the family's 1533-position model. The record is from RNAcentral. Lineage: Bacteria; Pseudomonadati; Candidatus Latescibacterota.
UGCAUGGCUGCCGUCAGCUCGUGUCGUGAGAUGUUGGUUAAGUCCCGCAACGAGCGCAACCCUUAUCCCUAGUUGCCAUCAGGUAAAGCUGGGAACUCUGGGGAGACUGCCGGUGAUAAACCGGAGGAAGGCGGGGAUGACGUCAAGUCCCCACUGGCCCUUACAUCCCGGGCUACACACGUGCUACAAUGGCAGGUACAGAGGGCUGCGAAGCCGCGAGGUGGAGCGAAUCCCAGAAAACCUGUCUCAGUCCGGAUUGAAGUCUGCAACUCGACUUCAUGAAGGCGGAAUCGCUAGUAACCGCGAAUCAGCAGGUCGCGGUGAAUACGUUCCCGGGCCUU